AGUGAACGCUGGCGGCAGGCCUAACACAUGCAAGUCGAACGGCAGCACAGUAAGAGCUUGCUCUUACGGGUGGCGAGUGGCGGACGGGUGAGGAAUACAUCGGAAUCUACUUUUUCGUGGGGGAUAACGUAGGGAAACUUACGCUAAUACCGCAUACGACCUACGGGUGAAAGCAGGGGAUCUUCGGCCCUUGCGUGAUUGAAGGAGCCGAUGUCGGAUUAGCUAGUUGGCGGGGUAAAGGCCCACCAAGGCGACGAUCCGUAGCGGGUCUGAGAGGAUGACCGGCCAAACUGAAACUGGGAAACGGUCCAGCCUCUGAGGGGAGGCAGCGGUGGGGAUUAUUGGACAAUGGGCGAAAGCCUGAUCAAGCCAUACCGGGUGGGUGAAGAAGGCCUUCGGGUGGUAAAGCCCUUUUGUUGGGAGAGAAAAGAGGCAGUUUAAAACCCCGCUGUUCUGACGGUACCAAAAGAAUAAGCACCGGCUACCUUCGU
Molecule: ribosomal RNA, 491 nt
Filed under: uncultured bacterium
Lineage: Bacteria
Description: partial 16S ribosomal RNA
Rfam family: Bacterial small subunit ribosomal RNA
Source: RNAcentral